This 916-nucleotide ribosomal RNA is filed under the name uncultured bacterium. Its description in RNAcentral is "bacterial SSU rRNA". It matches the Rfam family "Bacterial small subunit ribosomal RNA", at positions 446 to 1368 of the family's 1533-position model. The record is from RNAcentral.
UGUUAAUACCACCUGGUGCUGACGGUACCUAAAGAAUAAGCACCGGCUAACUACGUGCCAGCAGCCGCGGUAAUACGUAGGGUGCGAGCGUUAAUCGGAAUUACUGGGCGUAAAGCGAGCGCAGACGGUUAAUUAAGUCAGAUGUGAAAUCCCCGAGCUCAACUUGGGACGUGCAUUUGAAACUGGUUAACUAGAGUGUGUCAGAGGGAGGUAGAAUUCCACGUGUAGCAGUGAAAUGCGUAGAGAUGUGGAGGAAUACCGAUGGCGAAGGCAGCCUCCUGGGAUAACACUGACGUUCAUGCUCGAAAGCGUGGGUAGCAAACAGGAUUAGAUACCCUGGUAGUCCACGCCCUAAACGAUGACAAUUAGCUGUUGGGACACUAGAUGUUUUAGUAGCGAAGCUAACGCGUGAAAUUGUCCGCCUGGGGAGUACGGUCGCAAGAUUAAAACUCAAAGGAAUUGACGGGGACCCGCACAAGCGGUGGAUGAUGUGGAUUAAUUCGAUGCAACGCGAAGAACCUUACCUGGUCUUGACAUGUACGGAAUCUCUUAGAGAUAGGAGAGUGCCUUCGGGAGCCGUAACACAGGUGCUGCAUGGCUGUCGUCAGCUCGUGUCGUGAGAUGUUGGGUUAAGUCCCGCAACGAGCGCAACCCUUGUCAUUAGUUGCCAUCAUUAAGUUGGGCACUCUAAUGAGACUGCCGGUGACAAACCGGAGGAAGGUGGGGAUGACGUCAAGUCCUCAUGGCCCUUAUGACCAGGGCUUCACACGUCAUACAAUGGUCGGUACAGAGGGUAGCGAAGCCGCGAGGUGAAGCCAAUCUCAGAAAGCCGAUCGUAGUCCGGAUUGCACUCUGCAACUCGAGUGCAUGAAGUCGGAAUCGCUAGUAAUCGCAGGUCAGCAUACUGCGGUGAAUA